This 1029-nucleotide ribosomal RNA is filed under the name Acinetobacter baumannii. RNAcentral's name for it is "bacterial SSU rRNA". It matches the Rfam family "Bacterial small subunit ribosomal RNA", at positions 316 to 1338 of the family's 1533-position model. The record is from RNAcentral. Lineage: Bacteria; Pseudomonadati; Pseudomonadota; Gammaproteobacteria; Moraxellales; Moraxellaceae.
GGAUUGAGACCCGGCCCAGAUUCCUACGGGAGGCAGCAGUGGGGAAUAUGGACAAUGGGGGGAACCUUGAUCCAGCCAUGCCGCGUGUGUGAAGAAGGCCUUAUGGUUGUAAAGCACUUUAAGCGAGGAGGAGGCUACUUUAGUUAAUACCUAGAGAUAGUGGACGUUACUCGCAGAAUAAGCACCGGCUAACUCUGUGCCAGCAGCCGCGGUAAUACAGAGGGUGCGAGCGUUAAUCGGAUCUACUGGGCGUAAAGCGUGCGUAGGCGGCUUAUUAAGUCGGAUGUGAAAUCCCCGAGCUUAACUUGGGAAUUGCAUUCGAUACUGGUGAGCUAGAGUAUGGGAGAGGAUGGUAGAAUUCCAGGUGCAGCGGUGAAAUGCGUAGAGAUCUGGAGGAAUACCGAUGGCGAAGGCAGCCAUCUGGCCUAAUACUGACGCUGAGGUACGAAAGCAUGGGGAGCAAACAGGAUUAGAUACCCUGGUAGUCCAUGCCGUAAACGAUGUCUACUAGCCGUUGGGGCCUUUGAGGCUUUAGUGGCGCAGCUAACGCGAUAAGUAGACCGCCUGGGGAGUACGGUCGCAAGACUAAAACUCAAAUGAAUUGACGGGGGCCCGCACAAGCGGUGGAGCAUGUGGUUUAAUUCGAUGCAACGCGAAGAACCUUACCUGGCCUUGACAUACUAGAAACUUUCCAGAGAUGGAUUGGUGCCUUCGGGAAUCUAGAUACAGGUGCUGCAUGGCUGUCGUCAGCUCGUGUCGUGAGAUGUUGGGUUAAGUCCCGCAACGAGCGCAACCCUUUUCCUUACUUGCCAGCAUUUCGGAUGGGAACUUUAAGGAUACUGCCAGUGACAAACUGGAGGAAGGCGGGGACGACGUCAAGUCAUCAUGGCCCUUACGGCCAGGGCUACACACGUGCUACAAUGGUCGGUACAAAGGGUUGCUACACAGCGAUGUGAUGCUAAUCUCAAAAAGCCGAUCGUAGUCCGGAUUGGAGUCUGCAACUCGACUCCAUGAAGUCGGAAUCGCUAG